UUUACAGUGAGUGGGAAACAAAG
RNAcentral lists this unclassified non-coding RNA (23 nucleotides) under Mus musculus (house mouse). RNAcentral's name for it is "oocyte_clustered_small_RNA1843". The record is from RNAcentral. Lineage: Eukaryota; Metazoa; Chordata; Mammalia; Rodentia; Muridae.